RNAcentral lists this ribosomal RNA (497 nucleotides) under uncultured bacterium. RNAcentral's name for it is "partial 16S ribosomal RNA". It matches the Rfam family "Bacterial small subunit ribosomal RNA", at positions 28 to 507 of the family's 1533-position model. The record is from RNAcentral.
GAUGAACGCUGGCGGCGUGCCUAAUACAUGCAAGUCGAGCGAACGGACGAGAAGCUUGCUUCUCUGAUGUUAGCGGCGGACGGGUGAGUAACACGUGGAUAACCUACCUAUAAGACUGGGAUAACUUCGGGAAACCGGAGCUAAUACCGGAUGAUAUUUUGAACCGCAUGGUUCAAAAGUGAAAGACGGUCUUGCUGUCACUUAUAGAUGGAUCCGCGCUGCAUUAGCUAGUUGGUAAGGUAACGGCUUACCAAGGCAACGAUGCAUAGCCGACCUGAGAGGGUGAUCGGCCACACUGGAACUGAGACACGGUCCAGACUCCUACGGGAGGCAGCAGUAGGGAAUCUUCCGCAAAGGGCGAAAGCCUGACGGAGCAACGCCGCGUGAGUGAUGAAGGUCUUCGGAUCGUAAAACUCUGUUAUUAGGGAAGAACAUAUGUGUAAGUAACUGUGCACAUCCUGACGGUACCUAAUCAGAAAGCCACGGCUAACUACGUG